UACGUAGGGUGCAAGCGUUGUCCGGAUUUAUUGGGCGUAAAGAGCUCGUAGGCGGUCAGUCGCGUCGGAUGUGAAAACCCGGAGCUUAACUCCGGGCCUGCAUUCGAUACGGGCUGACUAGAGUGUUGUAGGGGAGACUGGAACUCCUGGUGUAGCGGUGAAAUGCGCAGAUAUCAGGAAGAACACCGGUGGCGAAGGCGGGUCUCUGGGCAACUACUGACGCUGAGGAGCGAAGGCGUGGGGAGCAAACAGG
Molecule: ribosomal RNA, 253 nt
Filed under: uncultured bacterium
Lineage: Bacteria
Description: partial 16S ribosomal RNA
Rfam family: Bacterial small subunit ribosomal RNA
Source: RNAcentral